RNAcentral lists this ribosomal RNA (424 nucleotides) under Verrucomicrobiota bacterium. Its description in RNAcentral is "Verrucomicrobia bacterium partial 16S ribosomal RNA". It matches the Rfam family "Bacterial small subunit ribosomal RNA", at positions 355 to 776 of the family's 1533-position model. Lineage: Bacteria; Pseudomonadati; Verrucomicrobiota. The record is from RNAcentral.
UGAGGAAUAUUGGACAAUGGACGCAAGUCUGAACCAGCCAAGUCGCGUGCAGGAUGACGGCCCUAUGGGUUGUAAACUGCUUUUAUAUGGGGAUAAAGUGGGGAACGUGUUCCCUUUUGCAGGUACCAUAUGAAUAAGGACCGGCUAAUUCCGUGCCAGCAGCCGCGGUAAUACGGUAGGUUCGGGCGUUAUCCGGAUUUAUUGGGUUUAAAGGGAGCGUAGGCCGUUUGGUAAGCGUGUUGUGAAAUGUAGGAGCUCAACUUCUGGAUUGCAGCGCGAACUGUCAGACUUGAGUGCGCACAACGUAGGCAGAAUUCAUGGUGUAGCGGUGAAAUGCUUAGAUAUCAUGAAGAACACCGAUGGCGAAGGCAGCUUACGGGAGCGCAACUGACGCUGAGGCUCGAAGGUGCGGGUAUCGAACAGG